UCGCCAAUAGGAUAAAUUAUUGGUAGUGCCUGCUCAGUGCCCUGUGGGUAAACAGCCGCUGUAUUUUGACGGUGCUAAGGUAGCGAAAUUCCUAGCCUUUUAAUUGGAGGCCUGCAUGAAUGGCUUGACGAGCGCCCUACUGUCUCUCUUUUGUGGAAUUGAAAUUAGCUUUUGUGUGAAAAGACAGAAAUGGUUGAGUUAGACGAGAAGACCCUGUGCAACUUUACUGAAGUGAAAAGACGACGGUUUAGCUGGGGCAGCUAAGGAAAAGAAAAAAUUUCCUUAAAAGAAAAAUACUGAUGGGUUUUGAUCCAACAAGAAGGUUGAUCAAUAGAAAAGUUACGCCAGGGAUAACAGCGUUAUCCCUCUGUGGAGGUCGGAUCUGCGGAGGGGAUUGCGACCUCGAUGUUGAAUUAGGGAUAUAGCGAGAAGGCGAAGAAGCUUUCUUUGUGGUUCUGUUCGACCUUU
RNAcentral lists this ribosomal RNA (468 nucleotides) under Pinna epica. RNAcentral describes it as "partial 16S ribosomal RNA". It matches the Rfam family "Bacterial large subunit ribosomal RNA", at positions 1831 to 2589 of the family's 2925-position model. The record is from RNAcentral. Lineage: Eukaryota; Metazoa; Mollusca; Bivalvia; Pterioida; Pinnidae.